GAUUAACGCUGGCGGCGUGCAUAACACAUGCAAGUCGAACGAUGAAACUUUAAUGAACCCUUCGGGGAGAAUUAAAGCGGAUUAGUGGCGAACGGGUGAGUAACGCGUGAGUAACCUGCCUUACACAAGGGGAUAGCCUUUGGAAACGAAGAAUAAUACCCUAUAAAACCAUAAAAGCACAUGCAAUUAUGGUCAAAGUGAUAGCGGUGUAAGAUGGACUUGCGUCUGAUUAGCUAGUUGGUGAGAUAAAAGCCCACCAAGGCAACGAUCAGUAGCCGGCUUGAGAGAGUGUACGGCCACAUUGGGACUGAGACACGGCCCAGACUCCUACGGGAGGCAGCAGUGGGGAAUUUUGCACAAUGGGGGAAACCCUGAUGCAGCGACGCCGCGUGAUUUAGAAGGCCUUCGGGUUGUAAAAAUCUUUUGUAUAGGAAGAAAAUGACAGUACUAUACGAAUAAGGUCCGGCUAAUUACAUG
Molecule: ribosomal RNA, 477 nt
Filed under: uncultured bacterium
Lineage: Bacteria
Description: partial 16S ribosomal RNA
Rfam family: Bacterial small subunit ribosomal RNA
Source: RNAcentral